Molecule: ribosomal RNA, 253 nt
Filed under: uncultured bacterium
Lineage: Bacteria
Description: partial 16S ribosomal RNA
Rfam family: Bacterial small subunit ribosomal RNA
Source: RNAcentral
UACAGAGGUCCCGAGCGUUGUUCGGAUUCACUGGGCGUAAAGGGUGCGUAGGCGGUGAGGCAAGUUGCAGGUUAAAUCUCAGGGCUCAACCCUGAAAGUGCCUGCAAUACUGCUUUGCUAGAGGACUGUAGAGGAGACUGGAAUUCACGGUGUAGCAGUGAAAUGCGUAGAUAUCGUGAGGAAGACCAGUGGCGAAGGCGAGUCUCUGGGCAGUUCCUGACGCUGAGGCACGAAGGCUAGGGGAGCAAACGGG